CGGCAGGGGGCGGUGUAAUAAUGGCUCCAGCCGGCAGGUGGCGGUGUAAUAAUGGCUCCAGCCGGCAGGUGGCGGUGUAAUAAUGGCUCCAGCCGGCAGGGGGCGGUGGAAUAAUGGAUCCAGCCGGCAGGUGGCGGUGUAAUAAUGGCUCCAGCCGGCAGGUGGCGGUGUAAUAAUGGCUCCAGCCGGCAGGUGGCGGUGUAAUAAUGGAUCCAGCCGGCAGGUGGCGGUGUAAUAAUGGGUCCAGCCGGGAGGUGGCGGUGUAAUAAUG
RNAcentral lists this long non-coding RNA (271 nucleotides) under Pelobates cultripes (western spadefoot toad). The record is from RNAcentral. Lineage: Eukaryota; Metazoa; Chordata; Amphibia; Anura; Pelobatidae.